AUUGAACGCUAGCGGGAUGCUUUACACAUGCAAGUCGAACGGCAGCGCGGACUUCGGUCUGGCGGCGAGUGGCGAACGGGUGAGUAAUGUAUCGGAACGUGCCCAGUAGCGGGGGAUAACUACGCGAAAGCGUAGCUAAUACCGCAUACGCCCUACGGGGGAAACCAGGGGUCCGUAAGACCUUGAACUUUUGGAGCGCCCGAUAUCGGAUUAGCUAGUUGGUGAGGUAACGGCUCACCAAGGCGACGAUCCGUAGCUGGUUUGAGAGGACGGCCAGCCACACUGGGACUGAGACACGGCCCAGACUCCUACGGGAGGCAGCAGUGGGGAAUUUUGGACAAUGGGGGCAACCCUGAUCCAGCCAUCCCGCGUGUGCGAUGAAGGCCUUCGGGUUGUAAAGCACUUUUGGCAGGAAAGAAACGUCGCGGGCUAAUACCCCGUGGAACUGACGGUACCUGCAGAAUAAGCACCGGCUAACUACGUG
Molecule: ribosomal RNA, 484 nt
Filed under: uncultured bacterium
Lineage: Bacteria
Description: partial 16S ribosomal RNA
Rfam family: Bacterial small subunit ribosomal RNA
Source: RNAcentral